Molecule: non-coding RNA, 428 nt
Organism: Peromyscus maniculatus bairdii (prairie deer mouse)
Lineage: Eukaryota; Metazoa; Chordata; Mammalia; Rodentia; Cricetidae
Source: RefSeq, a predicted model, not a curated record
AAGAAAGGUUAAAAAAAAAAGAGCCACUCAAAUUCCCAGAGCUUCCAAGAGCAUAAACUUUCUUCUCUUGACCCGUUUCUACCAUUGGAGAUACAAAGAAGAGCAGAUACAACAUGAUUCUGCCCAGAGAGCAGUAACCAGUGUGAUCUUUGAAGAACAUAAAAGAUAAGUCACUUUCAUAUUUCGCAUCAUGACUGAGGUGCUGUGUUCAUAUGGAAUGGACCAAGCCUGCUGGCUGAUCUGCAAAGCUCUGUCAUGAUUUCCAACACCCCUCAUGAGACGUGAGCUUCAACUUCCUGCCAUAUCCUUCAUGGUUGUGCUUUGGGUCAUUGUUACACAUCUUUCACACUCAUUAAUGAGAACAAAGAUUUCCAUCUGUUUUGAUCACCUAAAAUGAUGUCUAGCCUAUGGAGUCUCUGGUGUUUUGU